CCGAGUACAAGCAGCAGGUGUAUGGAGGCCUACCUUCAGGUUGGAGAGCUGACCAAACGUCUUGGCGCAGACAUUACACUCAUACUUGAUCUUGCCAUUCUGCUUCUUCAGCGGAAAGUUCCUUUCUUUGAAGAGGCACCACCUUCCUUCAGACCCCAGAGCUUUCUUUACACACAGACAGUCAAUACCUGGUCAUCUGCAGCCGGAGUCUCCAAGAGGUGCCCCAGCUUGUUCACCCCAGAGAGCGCUACAGGGCAGCAAGCUAUUGCUUUAUUCUUAAGUCACACACUGGCUGUGUGAUCCUUUCUCUAUUUCUCUCCAGCGUUAUCAGAAAUGAAAAGGAACCCUGUCCCUUUAAUACAGGCAGUAAACAGCAGAUUCAGUUUCUUUUAAGAGUGACUUCCUGUGAAUUGUGAGGGGGAUGUAUGUGGCUUCAUCAAAGCAGCCUGUGAGAGCUUCCGCGGUGUGUCUUGUUAAGAGAAAAUGUAACAAGACUGGGUGAAUUCAGCUAUCAAGAGGGGUUUUCAAGUUUGUUUACUCUGACGCGCAAACUUCCAGGAACAUGGGGUUCCAGUGCUCUCGCACUAGGGCGGAAACUGCUAGCCUCGGCUGUGUUGAUCCCGGUCAGCUUCCACGACUACAAUUUAGUGUAUCCUCAUUUAAAAACAGACCCGUGGAUGUCAUAAAGUCACACACACCCCAAGAAAAUAAAAUCAUGCAUUUGUAAAAUGUA
Molecule: long non-coding RNA, 733 nt
Organism: Mesocricetus auratus (golden hamster)
Lineage: Eukaryota; Metazoa; Chordata; Mammalia; Rodentia; Cricetidae
Exons: 2
Source: RefSeq, a predicted model, not a curated record